GUUAGGCUAUGUUCUCUGAAAAUAAAAUGGGCCGUAUUGGGCAAACCAGGCUUUGAGCCCAUGGUUUUCUUUACUGAUGGAGACAUGGAGGACAGAUGGGAGAGAAGCGAAAGAAGAGAGAGAUCGAAUUGAAGCAUCCAAUUUGUUUGAAUUGAUGGAUGAUUCCCCUUCUGGCGGCAUGACGUUAGCAGAAUGCCAGGAUUUUAUCCGGAAGAGCUUCCAAAGUAAUCCAACUGUCAAAUUUCUGAAAGAGAAUUUGGAGAAAUCUGGAUGCCGACCAAUUUCAUAAAGGCCGUUCAUUGCCAAGGAAGAUUAACUGGUCGAUUCGCCAGAGGAUUUGGGUGAACUUGCUAAACAAGCUCGGUCGCAAAUCCUCCGAAUCUAAGGAACCGGAGAGGCCG
This is a long non-coding RNA of Salvia splendens (bonfire salvia), 401 nucleotides long. RefSeq lists it as uncharacterized. Lineage: Eukaryota; Viridiplantae; Streptophyta; Magnoliopsida; Lamiales; Lamiaceae. The record is from RefSeq and is a predicted model, not a curated record. The transcript is spliced from 3 exons.